This is a non-coding RNA of Pangasianodon gigas (Mekong giant catfish), 88 nucleotides long. The record is from the annotation of a GenBank genome assembly. Lineage: Eukaryota; Metazoa; Chordata; Actinopteri; Siluriformes; Pangasiidae.
UAUAAAGAGAUCUCUCUUACUCUCUGUGUGUAUAAAUCAUAGUGUACUGAGUCAUAGCCAUUAUAAAGAGAUCCCUCUUACUCUCUGU